UACCGAAACGUUGUUUUCCUGUCACAUCUUUGCUGUUUCCUUGUAUGUCAUUACUAACGUUUUUUAAGUUACAAAAUGUAACUCUAUUUAAAGCAGAUAAAUAUAUACUUCAUCCCAUUAUUAUUAAUGCUUACGUUAUGCCUGAAUCAGCUGCAUCAGAAUUUCAUGUGUCUAAUUCUGAAUGUACAGUUGCCUAGUUGUUUCUGCGGCUACUAGAUGGCGCUCGUAGCAACACCGUGUUUACUUGCCCACACUUUCUAAAGUGGACACCACAGUCUUGUCGUAACCCUUGUUCACAGUACGAGCAGCCCUUAGCGGCUCGCCGUCUCACAAGUGUUCAUGACGUCGCCUUUCCGGCUUAGAUCUUUAACAUUCUGGCUGAAAAUAAAAUCAUCUUCAUGAACUUUUAAAAGAUGAAAACUUCAAUCAUUCUUGGUGUACUGCAUAUGCUGUUCGGAGUUCUUCUGAGUCUUUGGAAUCACUUGUGAGGUUUCACAGCAGGCCCUGCGUGUGCUCCAUCAAUGUUAAUCACUUUCAUCAAUAUGGUAUUGUUCAAAGGUAGUGUUCCUCCCAAAGGUUGUGAUGAGUUCAUGUAUAGUGGACAGAAAGGCUUGCAGAGGUUCUUUGUUGUUCUUUCUCUACUAUGUGUUGCUUGGAUGCUUCUUGCAAAACCCACUGUUUUGAUAAUGAGGCACUGCAAAGCCCACCAAACGCUUUCAAGCCAUCUCGUACCUGCAGAGAACGGCAUGGAUGUGGAGGUGGGAUCGAUGUCAGGGACAGCACACAAGGACAGUGCAGAUGGGGCUCCCGCACCACGGAGCAGUGAAGACCACAACCUUGGAGAAAUCUUCAUCCAUCAGGGCAUCCACACAAUAGAGUACGUGCUAGGCUCUGUCUCUCACACUGCCUCUUAUCUGUGACUUUGGGCACUGUCACUGGCGCACGUCCGGUCCUGUGCCUCUGUUGGCAGAAAUGUGUCUAGCUCCAACUACAGCCCCGUGGUCAGAGUUUAAUUCCUGUCAUGCAGCUGUAAUCACAUUGGACAUGUUUUUAACAAGAAUCACCAGAGUACAAAAGAUGGCCCCACCAAUGCACUGGCCUUUUGCACCUCCUGUAUGUGGUACUGCUGCCGUCUGUAUAUGUGCACACCAUUGCCCCGUGACUUCUGUCGUCUCAGUGUAUACAGCAAGUGUAAUCUGUUCAUGCAAUGAGUGGGGUGCCAUUUGUCUUUGGUUGAUCUGAAGCACUCACUAAUUUUGUGUCGGUGAGUAUCUACACUGUCUCGAUGCUGUGCUUUCAAAGAAUGUGGCCGAUUCCGUCCGUCACCCUGUGGAUAUACAUCAGAAAUGCUGCGACUGGAAUUUCUCCUUUGAAGGUCUCAUUUUGCCAGGUAUUGUGGUUUACCACAUUAAUCCUUCAUGAAACAUCCAUUGUGUUUCAAAAAUUGUCUUGCAUUGGAGCUGAUGUGGCCUUUUUCACUUGUUAAAAGUAUGGUGAUCAUAUGAUGAUUCUAGAGGUUACGUAAAUACCAAGCUAUAACAGUAGGUUUGCAAUAUGUGAUAUAGCACAUAGUACAGUAAGUUACUGCAAAUGUUGAGUUAUCUGAAAAAUCAAUUACCUGAAUGCUAAA
RNA transcript from Schistocerca nitens (vagrant locust), 1630 nucleotides. It is a transcript of the gene named V-type proton ATPase 116 kDa subunit a 1-like, with no coding region annotated. The record is from RefSeq and is a predicted model, not a curated record. NCBI's taxonomy places the organism in Eukaryota, Metazoa, Arthropoda, Insecta, Orthoptera, Acrididae. The transcript has 6 exons.